Molecule: ribosomal RNA, 116 nt
Filed under: Erinaceus europaeus (western European hedgehog)
Lineage: Eukaryota; Metazoa; Chordata; Mammalia; Eulipotyphla; Erinaceidae
Source: RNAcentral
CCACACAUCCAUAUUACCCUGAAUAUGCCAAAUCUCAUCUGAUCUUGAUGCUAAGGAUGGUCAUGCCUGGUUAGUACUUGGAUGGGAGAAUUGGAGAGAAGACCAUAAUUCCUGGU